UAGCUAAUCCUGGUCGGACAUCAGGAGGUUAGUGCAAUGGCAUAAGCUAGCUUGACUGCGAGCGUGACGGCGCGAGCAGGUGCGAAAGCAGGUCAUAGUGAUCCGGUGGUUCUGAAUGGAAGGGCCAUCGCUCAACGGAUAAAAGGUACUCCGGGGAUAACAGGCUGAUACCGCCCAAGAGUUCAUAUCGACGGCGGUGUUUGGCACCUCGAUGUCGGCUCAUCACAUCCUGGGGCUGAAGUAGGUCCCAAGGGUAUGGCUGUUCGCCAUUUAAAGUGGUACGCGAGCUGGGUUUAGAACGUCGUGAGACAGUUCGGUCCCUAUCUGCCGUGGGCGCUGGAGAAUUGAGGGGGGCUGCUCCUAGUACGAGAGGACCGGAGUGGACGCAUCACUGGUGUUCGGGUUGUCAUGCCAAUGGCACUGCCCGGUAGCUAAAUGCGGAAGAGAUAAGU
Molecule: ribosomal RNA, 452 nt
Filed under: Klebsiella pneumoniae
Lineage: Bacteria; Pseudomonadati; Pseudomonadota; Gammaproteobacteria; Enterobacterales; Enterobacteriaceae
Description: partial 23S ribosomal RNA
Rfam family: Bacterial large subunit ribosomal RNA
Source: RNAcentral